UACGGAGGGUGCAAGCGUUAAUCGGAAUUACUGGGCGUAAAGGGUGCGUAGGUGGUUUAAUAAGUUAGCUGUGAAAUCCCCGGGCUUAACCUGGGCAGGUCAGCUAAGACUGUUAGACUCGAGUAUAGGAGAGGGUAGUGGAAUUUCCGGUGUAGCGGUGAAAUGCGUAGAGAUCGGAAGGAACACCAGUGGCGAAGGCGGCUACCUGGCCAGAUACUGACACUGAGGCACGAAAGCGUGGGGAGCAAACAGG
This 253-nucleotide ribosomal RNA is filed under the name uncultured bacterium. RNAcentral describes it as "partial 16S ribosomal RNA". It matches the Rfam family "Bacterial small subunit ribosomal RNA", at positions 524 to 776 of the family's 1533-position model. The record is from RNAcentral.